CACGCAACCGCGACAUCAAUUCCGGACCGUAUGACAACUACAUCCAGACCGACGCGGCGAUCAAUCGCGGCAACUCCGGCGGUCCGCUGUUCAAUCUCGACGGCGAAGUCAUCGGCGUGAACACCGCGAUCAUUUCGCCGUCGGGCGGAUCGAUCGGCAUCGGCUUUGCGGUUCCGUCGAAGACAGUGAUGGCGGUGGUCGAUCAGUUGCGCCAGUUCAAGGAAGUCCGCCGCGGCUGGCUCGGUGUCCGCAUUCAGCAGGUCACCGACGAAAUCGCGGAAAGCCUCAGCAUCAAGCCCGCACGCGGCGCGCUGAUCGCCGGCGUGGACGACAAGGGUCCAGNNNNNNNNNNACCCUGCCGGCAUCGAGCCGGGUGACGUCGUCGUCAAGUUCGAUGGCAAGGACAUCAAGGAGAUGAAGGACCUUCCGCGUGCCGUCGCCGACUCGCCGGUCGGCAAGGCGG
RNAcentral lists this unclassified non-coding RNA (463 nucleotides) under Hevea brasiliensis (rubber tree). Lineage: Eukaryota; Viridiplantae; Streptophyta; Magnoliopsida; Malpighiales; Euphorbiaceae. The record is from RNAcentral.